AUUGAACGCUGGCGGCAUGCCUUACACAUGCAAGUCGAACGGCAGCACGGGUGCUUGCACCUGGUGGCGAGUGGCGAACGGGUGAGUAAUACAUCGGGACAUGUCCUGUAGUGGGGGAUAGCCCGUCGAAAGCCGGAUUAAUACCGCAUACGAUCUACGGAUGAAAGCGGGGGACCUUCGGGCCUCGCGCUUUAGGGUUGGCCGAUGGCUGAUUAGCUAGUUGGUGGGGUAAAGGCCUACCAAGGCGACGAUCAGUAGCUGGUCUGAGAGGACGACCAGCCACACUGGGACUGAGACACGGCCCAGACUCCUACGGGAGGCAGCAGUGGGGAAUUUUGGACAAUGGGCGAAAGCCUGAUGCAGCAAUGCCGCGUGUGUGAAGAAGGCCUUCGGGUUGUAAAGCACUUUUGUCCGGAAAGAAAUCCUUGGCCCUAAUACGGGCGGGGGAUGACGGUACCGGAAGAAUAAGCACCGGCUAACUACGUG
Molecule: ribosomal RNA, 486 nt
Filed under: uncultured bacterium
Lineage: Bacteria
Description: partial 16S ribosomal RNA
Rfam family: Bacterial small subunit ribosomal RNA
Source: RNAcentral